RNAcentral lists this transfer RNA (73 nucleotides) under Enterobacteriaceae endosymbiont of Macroplea mutica. Its description in RNAcentral is "tRNA-Val". It matches the Rfam family "tRNA". From Rfam's summary of the family: Transfer RNA (tRNA) molecules are approximately 80 nucleotides in length. Lineage: Bacteria; Pseudomonadati; Pseudomonadota; Gammaproteobacteria; Enterobacterales; Enterobacteriaceae. The record is from RNAcentral. RNAcentral also lists the same sequence under 3 other names.
GGGUGAUUAGCUCAGUUGGUAGAGUCCCUCCCUUACAAGGAGGUUGUCGGCGGUUCGAGUCCGUCAUCACCCA